AUUGAACGCUGGCGGCAUGCCUUACACAUGCAAGUCGGACGGCAGCAUAGGAGCUUGCUCCUGAUGGCGAGUGGCGAACGGGUGAGUAAUAUAUCGGAACGUGCCCUAGAGUGGGGGAUAACUAGUCGAAAGACUAGCUAAUACCGCAUACGAUCUACGGAUGAAAGCGGGGGAUCGCAAGACCUCAUGCUCCUGGAGCGGCCGAUAUCUGAUUAGCUAGUUGGUGGGGUAAAAGCCUACCAAGGCAACGAUCAGUAGCUGGUCUGAGAGGACGACCAGCCAGACUGGGACUGAGACACGGCCCAGACUCCUACGGGAGGCAGCAGUGGGGAAUUUUGGACAAUGGGGGCAACCCUGAUCCAGCAAUGCCGCGUGAGUGAAGAAGGCCUUCGGGUUGUAAAGCUCUUUUGUCAGGGAAGAAACGGUAGUAGCGAAUAACUAUUACUAAUGACGGUACCUGAAGAAUAAGCACCGGCUAACUACGUGCCAGCAGCCGCGGUAA
RNAcentral lists this ribosomal RNA (502 nucleotides) under uncultured bacterium. Its description in RNAcentral is "partial 16S ribosomal RNA". It matches the Rfam family "Bacterial small subunit ribosomal RNA", at positions 30 to 523 of the family's 1533-position model. The record is from RNAcentral.